GCCGGGCGUGGUGGCGGAAGCCUAUAAUCCCAGCUACUCGGGAGGCUGAAGCAGGAGAAUUACUUGAACCUGGGAGGUGAGGUUGCAGUGAACCGAGAUCAUGCCAUUGCACUCCAUUCUGGGCAACAAGAGUGAAAUUGUUUGGGAAAAAAAAAAAAAAAAAGGCGGAGUAAUAGGAGACAAGGCAUACAAAUUUACCCAGGCUGGAGUGCAGUGGUGUGAUCUCUGCUCACUGCAAGCUCCGUCUCCCGGGUUCACGCCAUUCUCUUGC
This 271-nucleotide long non-coding RNA is filed under the name Homo sapiens (human). RNAcentral's name for it is "non-protein coding lnc-NIPSNAP2-2:1". The record is from RNAcentral. Lineage: Eukaryota; Metazoa; Chordata; Mammalia; Primates; Hominidae.